This 255-nucleotide ribosomal RNA is filed under the name uncultured bacterium. RNAcentral describes it as "partial 16S ribosomal RNA". It matches the Rfam family "Bacterial small subunit ribosomal RNA", at positions 524 to 776 of the family's 1533-position model. The record is from RNAcentral.
UACGUAGGGUGCGAGCGUUUGUCCGGAAUUAUUGGGCGUAAAGGGCUCGUAGGCGGUUUGUCGCGUCGGGAGUGAAAUCCACUGGCUUAACUGGUGGCUUGCUUUCGAUACGGGCAGACUGGAGGUAUGCAGGGGGAGAACGGAAUUCCUGGUGUAGCGGUGAAAUGCGCAGAUAUCAGGAGGAACACCGGUGGCGAAGGCGGUUCUCUGGGCAUUACCUGACGCUGAGGAGCGAAAGUGUGGGGAGCGAACAGG